GAGCGUUCCCCUUCGGGGGACAGAGUGACAGGUGGUGCAUGGUUGUCGUCAGCUCGUGUCGUGAGAUGUUGGGUUAAGUCCCGCAACGAGCGCAACCCUUGAUCUUAGUUGCCAGCAUUCAGUUGGGCACUCUAAGGUGACUGCCGGUGACAAACCGGAGGAAGGUGGGGAUGACGUCAAAUCAUCAUGCCCCUUAUGACCUGGGCUACACACGUGCUACAAUGGAUGGUACAAAGGGCUGCAAGACCGCGAGGUCAAGCCAAUCCCAUAAAACCAUUCUCAGUUCGGAUUGUAGGCUGCAACUCGCCUACAUGAAGCUGGAAUCGCUAGUAAUCGCGGAUCAGCAUGCCGCGGUGAAUACGUUCCCGGGUCUUGUACACACCGA
This 385-nucleotide ribosomal RNA is filed under the name Priestia megaterium. RNAcentral's name for it is "bacterial SSU rRNA". It matches the Rfam family "Bacterial small subunit ribosomal RNA", at positions 1008 to 1393 of the family's 1533-position model. Lineage: Bacteria; Bacillati; Bacillota; Bacilli; Caryophanales; Bacillaceae. The record is from RNAcentral.